This 108-nucleotide ribosomal RNA is filed under the name Meriones unguiculatus (Mongolian gerbil). The record is from RNAcentral. Lineage: Eukaryota; Metazoa; Chordata; Mammalia; Rodentia; Muridae.
GUCUACCGGCAUGCCACCCUGAGUAUACCUAAUCUUGUCUGGUCUCAGAAACUAAGCAGGAUUGGGCUGAGCACUAUUUGGAUGGGAAGAAACUCAUUCCUGUUGCAA